This 517-nucleotide ribosomal RNA is filed under the name uncultured archaeon. RNAcentral describes it as "bacterial SSU rRNA". It matches the Rfam family "Archaeal small subunit ribosomal RNA", at positions 93 to 593 of the family's 1478-position model. The record is from RNAcentral.
GUAACACGUAGUCAACCUGCCCUGGAGACCUGGAAAACCCCGGGAAACUGGGAUUAAUCCGUGAUAGGUCACCUCAUCUGGAAGGAGAGAUGGCUUAAAGGGCUGCGAGAGCUUCUUUCUUGCAUUCGCUCCAGGAUGGGACUGCGGCCGAUCAGGCUGUUGGCGGUGUAAUGGACCACCAAACCUGUAACCGGUACGGGCCUUGAGAGAGGGGGCCCGGAGAUGGACACUGAGAGAAGGGUCCAGGUCCUACGGGGCGCAGCAGGCGCGAAACCUUCGCAAUGCGCGAAAGCGUGACGAGGUUAAUCCGAGUGGUCCCCGCUGAGGGGAUCUUUUGUUGGCUGUAAAAAGGCCGAUGAAUAAGGGGAGGGCAAGUCUGGUGUCAGCCGCCGCGGUAAUACCAGCUCCUCGAGUGGUCGGGGCGAUUAUUGGGCCUAAAGCAUCCGUAGCCGGUUCUGUAGGUCCUCUGUCAAAUCCAACGGCUUAACCGUUGGCCCGCAGAGGAUACCGCAGGACU